This 1070-nucleotide long non-coding RNA is filed under the name Solanum tuberosum (potato). RNAcentral describes it as "long non-coding RNA (STUB_LNC006265)". The record is from RNAcentral. Lineage: Eukaryota; Viridiplantae; Streptophyta; Magnoliopsida; Solanales; Solanaceae.
UAUUUUGGUGUGUUUAUUCUAGUAGAACGGCCAACUAAAUUGAGCUCUUUUCUCGUAAACCUAUUGAAGCGGUUUUCUGAAGAUAGUUCUCCGAGAACACUCUUCUUUUCUUAUUAUCAAGGAGAGGCAGCUUAUGUGGAAGCUCUUCAAGUCCCAUAAGCUUGGCGAUAAUGCUUUGUGUAUGCUGCUUCCCCUCCAUCUAAAUCAGGCACUCUGAUUACAACUGUUUUAGUUCUCCAAAUUAUAUAUUUUUACAAGUGCAUUUCUUCAAAAUAAGGCACCAAUUGAUGUCAUCUGCACAAAGACAUAUUACCAUUUUUAGGCAAAAAGAAAUGCAUACGUGGUUCAUUAACAACAUUUGAACCAGAAACAUCAUUUGAAAUGAAUUAAUCCCCUCAAAAAGAAAGAAAAAUAAAAAGAAGAAAACAGAAAAAGCCUUCAAUUUUUUAGUAGAAGAUAAGUGUUACACAUAUAAAGGAAAUAUAGCGCAAUCUAAAUUCUGAUUUACCUCCAUCAUAAUCGAGAAGAGGAGGAUAAAUUCAAAGAAUGAAAAGGCCCAAUCUCAAAGUUAUCAUGAAAGAUCAUAACCAAGGUCUCGGUUGGAGCCCUAGAAUGAAGAAAAUUAUGUUGGAAGCGCAUCCUGAAAUGGAGCUUGCAGUGUCCGAUUUAGAUAUAUUCAAGUUAUAAUAUGAAGAUCAGAUACCAAUAGUAAACCAAAAAAACCCAUAAAAUUGAAUUCUAAAACACCGUAAAAGAAUCAUUUUAUCAUCUCUAUAAAAAGCUCUAAUUAAUUUCCCUUUUUUUUACUUAUCCAUACACCAAAAUUCAGCAAAGUGAAAAAUAGCCAUCCAGAUUGAUGAGAUCCAACAAAUUAAAAAACUCAAAUAGGAAAUAUGAUUAACCUUGAUUGAAGAUCCUACUCCUUGUUAUACGAAACUAAAUUGAUAAUGCAAUGAUAACAUCAAAUACUUUUAUUCCAUAAUCUCUAACAUCAACCUUGAUUUGAAAUAAGAAAUCAAUUUUUUUCCCCUUUUUUUGAUUAGUAUAUGCAUAAAAAAUGGCUGAAAAUG